UUGUAUCACCCAAGUAAGGUCAAUGUAGUAGCAGAUGCCCUAAGUAGAUUGUCCAUGGGUAGUGUUUCUCAUGUUGAAGAUGGAAAGAAAAAGUUAGUUUAGGAAGUUCAUCAUCUUGCCAUAUUAGGUGUUUGUUUGGUUGAUUUAGCUGAGGGUAGCGUUUAGGUUUAGAAUAGUUUGGAAUCUUCUUUGGUUGCCAAAGUGAAUGAAAAGUAAGAUA
RNAcentral lists this long non-coding RNA (220 nucleotides) under Capsicum annuum. RNAcentral describes it as "long non-coding RNA (CANN_LNC002849)". The record is from RNAcentral. Lineage: Eukaryota; Viridiplantae; Streptophyta; Magnoliopsida; Solanales; Solanaceae.